UUCUCGAUGGCUCAGUCGGAUAGAGCGUUUGCCAUGCAAGCAAAAGAUCCCGGGUUCGAGUCCCGGGCGGGGCA
This is a non-coding RNA of Schistocerca americana (American grasshopper), 74 nucleotides long. Lineage: Eukaryota; Metazoa; Arthropoda; Insecta; Orthoptera; Acrididae. The record is from the annotation of a RefSeq genome assembly.